UUCUGGGUCUGCUUGAAUUGGGGUUUAGUCCCUGUGUCUUGAUACAGCCCUGAUUUUGUUCUGCCUUGCUGCUUAAUUAAAAAAAUAGUUUAAGGUGUCCUGCAUAAGUGAUAUAUAUUUUUCCCUAUAUGAAGUCAUUCUUUUUUGAAUGACCCCCCCCCCACAAAAAAAAAAAAAUCCCACAUGCAUACUACCCUUUAGGGCUAAGCCCCGGGUGUUUCAAAUGUCUGGCUCCGCCUCUGGUCUCAACCAAGUACUGUAUGGUUUUUAUAUUUUUAGUAGUGUGUCACACAAACAGCAAAUAUUGUCAAAAAGAGUAAGAAAUCUCUGGGGGUGUUUUGAUUCAUUUUGGGGGUGCUUCAGCACCCCCAAAAAUGGGCUAAAAACGCCCCUGUCCCCACCAAUAAUUUGAUCUCUUCGAGUAAAGAAAGAGAAACCCGAUAGAAAGAAAAAAAAACGAUCUGUCAGCGUCUCAUUCACCCAGUGGUGCAGAAAGAGUUAAAUUACAUUCUCUACUGGAGUUCUACCUCAUGUGACAAAUAUGGCUAAUGUGAUUCGCUGUGCCUUUCAGGGAGCUCUGUUUAGUUUUAGCACACCCGAGCCUCAACUCCCGCGGCCCGGUACCAAAUGACUCACGGACCGUGGCCUGGGGGUUGGGGACCGCUGCCUUACAGCAUAGCAGCAUAGGAUCAAUGGAUCAGUCGUGGAUUCAGCAAAAGAUAAAAGGAAGCCUCAGAUCAUUGGAAAUACAACCGUUAAACUGGGAGAUGUUCUGAAUCUGACCUGCAGUGUUGAAAGUUUCCCCCCAGCUCUUAUAGUCUGGAGAAGUACCACCACAAUCCUUCUGACUAAAACUUAUCCUGAUCUGCACAAUGACACUGGAUCAGCUACACUUGUCAUUCAGAAUGUGAUAGCAGAACAUUCUGGACAGUACAUCUGUGCAACCAAAUAUCUGCACACAACUGUGACUUCAUAUGUCAAUGUGACCGUGACAUGGUUUUCAAAAAUAGUGAAUGGCUCUGGAUGUGUGCUUCAGGCAGAGGUUUUGACCUGUGUGUGUCUCAGUGAAGGGUUUCCUUUACCGACUGUCAAUUGGCCAUUUCUGAAGAACCGCACUGAUUACUCUGCCCUUACCACUGUGUCAAACCACACAGUAAACAGCACAGUCAGUUUAACUGUGAAAAACAAUGGCAACACUACUUUUGAAUGUAUCAGCAACAAUGGAAUGGGGGAAGCAAAAGAAAGUCUCACAAUCCAAAAAAACUUGCCAGAC
Oreochromis aureus is the source of this 1273-nucleotide long non-coding RNA. Lineage: Eukaryota; Metazoa; Chordata; Actinopteri; Cichliformes; Cichlidae. The record is from Ensembl.